This 481-nucleotide ribosomal RNA is filed under the name uncultured bacterium. Its description in RNAcentral is "partial 16S ribosomal RNA". It matches the Rfam family "Bacterial small subunit ribosomal RNA", at positions 28 to 523 of the family's 1533-position model. The record is from RNAcentral.
GACGAACGCUGGCGGCGUGCUUAACACAUGCAAGUCGAACGGUGAAGGGGAGCUUGCUCCCCGGAUCAGUGGCGAACGGGUGAGUAACACGUGGGCAACCUGCCCCUGACUCUGGGAUAACGCUUCGAAAGAGGUGCUAAUACCGGAUACGAACUCCCUUGGCAUCUGGGGAGUUGGAAAGUUUUUCGGUCAGGGAUGGGCCCGCGGCCUAUCAGCUUGUUGGUGAGGUAACGGCUCACCAAGGCGACGACGGGUAGCCGGCCUGAGAGGGCGGCCGGCCACACUGGGACUGAGACACGCCCCAGACUCCGACGGGAGGCAGCAGUGGGGAAUAUUGCGCAAUGGGCGAAAGCCUGACGCAGCAACACCACGUGAGGGAUGACGGCCUUCGGGUUGUAAACCUCUUUCAGCAGGGAAGAAGCGAAAGUGACGGUACCUGCAGAAGAAGCACCGGCUAACUACGUGCCAGCCGCCGCCGUAA